Rhinolophus ferrumequinum (greater horseshoe bat) is the source of this 339-nucleotide long non-coding RNA. RefSeq lists it as uncharacterized. The transcript is spliced from 3 exons. The record is from RefSeq and is a predicted model, not a curated record. Lineage: Eukaryota; Metazoa; Chordata; Mammalia; Chiroptera; Rhinolophidae.
UACUGACCAAGAGGGGGUUUCCUCCAGAAGCGACUUGGAGACCCGGUUCCUUCCACAACGUGCCUCUAUACUCUGCCACCGUCAGCUCGUAGCUUCUAUGGCUGCCAUACGCAUGUGCAUCAAGGUUUAUGGUCAAUGUAAAGCAAUAAUUUACGUUAAUAAGCCAAGAAGAAUCCUCUAUUCACCUGCUUACAAUUGUACUCUUCGCCCAGUUUCUCGAAGAAAGAUUCACAGUAUGUGCCCGACUGCCCCAGCCCCAGCCCCACUGACUUCUCAGAUCCCAAAGUUCUGGAAGCUGCCACUGAGUCUCUUGCAAAAUACAACAAGGAGAGCACCUUG